AUGUGGAACAACAUAAUCUCUCUCAAGUUCGCCAAUGACGAUUUCACAAAAGAAUGGAGACAAACGUUCACUAGGGACUUGGAGGGCAAAUUGAAACAGGAGUCUCCUCUGGAUCAGAUAGAGAUCUACUGUUCCAAGAUUGAGGUCCUGAAUGAAUCUCACCCUCACGUAGCCAAGACUAUCGAGAAAUGUGCCCUAGAAGCUGUCACCUCACUGUGCCAGGUAAGUAGACUGGUUACACUUGACUUAAAUACAGAUUCAAUAUACAGUACCAGUCAAGUUUGGACAAAACUACUCAUUCCAGGGUCUUUCUUGAUUUGCACUAUUUUCUACAUUGUAGAAUAAUACUGAAGACAUCAAAACUAUGAAAUAACACAUGGAAUCAUGUAGUAACCAAAAAAGUGUCAAACAAAUCAAAAAGCUGUCAUCAAGGAAAAGGGUGGCUACUUUGAAGAAUCUCUACUUUAAAAUAUAUUUUGAUUUGUUUAACA
Molecule: long non-coding RNA, 491 nt
Filed under: Oncorhynchus kisutch (coho salmon)
Lineage: Eukaryota; Metazoa; Chordata; Actinopteri; Salmoniformes; Salmonidae
Description: lncRNA (ENSOKIG00005050099.1)
Source: RNAcentral